AACCCAUGGUGAGGGCAUCUUCUCAGUAAGUCCUUCUAUCUCUCCCAUGCAUGAUAAAGUGUUUCUAAAUCCAUUUGUACAAAAGAAGAGAUAUCAUUAUGCAAUU
RNAcentral lists this small nucleolar RNA (106 nucleotides) under Gossypium hirsutum (cotton). RNAcentral describes it as "Plant small nucleolar RNA R71". It matches the Rfam family "Plant small nucleolar RNA R71". Rfam says of the family: R71 is a member of the C/D box family of snoRNAs containing the C (UGAUGA) and D (CUGA) box motifs. Multiple nearly identical copies of this snoRNA have been identified in Arabidopsis, and it is thought to function as a 2'-O-ribose methylation guide for 18S ribosomal RNA. The record is from Rfam by way of RNAcentral. Lineage: Eukaryota; Viridiplantae; Streptophyta; Magnoliopsida; Malvales; Malvaceae.